Molecule: ribosomal RNA, 379 nt
Filed under: uncultured bacterium
Lineage: Bacteria
Description: bacterial SSU rRNA
Rfam family: Bacterial small subunit ribosomal RNA
Source: RNAcentral
ACUCCUACGGGAGGCAGCAGUGGGGAAUAUUGCACAAUGGGCGCAAGCCUGAUGCAGCCAUGCCGCGUGUGUGAAGAAGGCCUUCGGGUUGUAAGCACUUUUCAGUUGUGAGGAAGGUGGUGUCGUUAAUAGCGGCAUCAUUUUGACGUUUAGCAACAGAAGAAGCACCGGCUAACUCCGUGCCAGCAGCCGCGGUAAUACGGAGGGUGCGAGCGUUAAUCGGAAUUACUGGGCGUAAAGCGCAUGCAGGUGGUUUGUUAAGUCAGAUGUGAAAGCCCGGGGCUCAACCUCGGAACUGCAUUUGAAACUGGCAGGCUAGAGUCUUGUAGAGGGGGUAGAAGUUUCAGGUGUAGCGGUGAAAUGCGUAGAGAUCUGAAGG